GCCAUCCUAGCUCAGUCGGUAGAGUGCACGGCUUUUAACCGUGUGGUUUCUGGCUGGUU
Molecule: transfer RNA, 59 nt
Filed under: Setaria italica (foxtail millet)
Lineage: Eukaryota; Viridiplantae; Streptophyta; Magnoliopsida; Poales; Poaceae
Also listed under: 1 other name
Source: Rfam by way of RNAcentral